RNAcentral lists this ribosomal RNA (2918 nucleotides) under Haemophilus influenzae. RNAcentral describes it as "bacterial LSU rRNA". It matches the Rfam family "Bacterial large subunit ribosomal RNA". The record is from RNAcentral. Lineage: Bacteria; Pseudomonadati; Pseudomonadota; Gammaproteobacteria; Pasteurellales; Pasteurellaceae.
GUUGUAUAGUUAAGUGACUAAGCGUACAAGGUGGAUGCCUUGGCAAUCAGAGGCGAAGAAGGACGUGCUAAUCUGCGAAAAGCUUGGAUGAGUCGAUAAGAGGCGUUUAAUCCAAGAUAUCCGAAUGGGGAAACCCAGUAGAUGAAGAAUCUACUAUUAACAAGUGAAUUCAUAGCUUGUUGAGGCAAACCGGGAGAACUGAAACAUCUAAGUACCCCGAGGAAAAGAAAUCAACCGAGAUUUCGUCAGUAGCGGCGAGCGAAAGCGAAAGAGCCAGUAAGUGAUAGCAGUAUAGUUAGGAGAAUGUGUUGGGAAACACAAUCAAAGAGGGUGAUAAUCCCGUAUCUAAAAACCAUAUUGUGGUACUAAGCUAACGAGAAGUAGGGCGGGACACGUGAUAUCCUGUUUGAAGAAGGGGGGACCAUCCUCCAAGGCUAAAUACUCCUGAUUGACCGAUAGUGAACCAGUACUGUGAAGGAAAGGCGAAAAGAACCCCGGUGAGGGGAGUGAAAUAGAACCUGAAACCUUGUACGUACAAGCAGUGGGAGCCUGAAAGGGUGACUGCGUACCUUUUGUAUAAUGGGUCAGCGACUUAUAUUUUGUAGCGAGGUUAACCGAAUAGGGGAGCCGAAGGGAAACCGAGUCUUAACUGGGCGAAGAGUUGCAAGGUAUAGACCCGAAACCCGGUGAUCUAGCCAUGGGCAGGUUGAAGGUUGGGUAACACUAACUGGAGGACCGAACCGACUAAUGUUGAAAAAUUAGCGGAUGACUUGUGGCUGGGGGUGAAAGGCCAAUCAAACCGGGAGAUAGCUGGUUCUCCCCGAAAUCUAUUUAGGUAGAGCCUUGAGGUGACACCUUUGGGGGUAGAGCACUGUUUCGGCUAGGGGUCCAUCCCGGAUUACCAACCCGAUGCAAACUACGAAUACCAAAGAGUGAUACUCAGGAGACACACGGCGGGUGCUAACGUCCGUCGUGGAGAGGGAAACAACCCAGACCGCCAGCUAAGGUCCCCAAGUCUAUAUUAAGUGGGAAACGAAGUGGGAAGGCUUAGACAGCUAGGAUGUUGGCUUAGAAGCAGCCAUCAUUUAAAGAAAGCGUAAUAGCUCACUAGUCGAGUCGGCCUGCGCGGAAGAUGUAACGGGGCUGAAAUAUAGCACCGAAGCUGCGGCAUCAGACGAAAGUCUGUUGGGUAGGGGAGCGUUCUGUAAGCGGAUGAAGGUUAAUCGAGAGGUUAGCUGGACGUAUCAGAAGUGCGAAUGCUGACAUAAGUAACGAUAAAACGGGUGAAAAACCCGUUCGCCGGAAGACCAAGGGUUCCUGUCCAACGUUAAUCGGGGCAGGGUGAGUCGGCCCCUAAGGCGAGGCUGAAAAGCGUAGUCGAUGGGAAACAGGUUAAUAUUCCUGUACUUGGUAAAGCUGCGAUGUGGGGACGGAGUAGGUUAGGUUAUCGCACUGUUGGAUAUGUGCGUUUAAGUUGGUAGGUGGGAAGUUUAGGCAAAUCCGGACUUCUAUUAAACACUGAGAGAUGAUGACGAGGCUCUAAGGAGCUGAAGUAACUGAUACCACACUUCCAGGAAAAGCCACUAAGCGACAGGCUUUACUAAACCGUACUGAAAACCGACACAGGUGGUCAGGUAGAGAAUACUCAGGCGCUUGAGAGAACUCGGGUGAAGGAACUAGGCAAAAUAGCACCGUAACUUCGGGAGAAGGUGCGCCGGCGUAGAUUGUAGAGAUUUACUCUCGAAGGUUGAACCGGUCGAAGAUACCAGCUGGCUGCAACUGUUUAUUAAAAACACAGCACUCUGCAAACACGAAAGUGGAGGUAUAGGGUGUGAUGCCUGCCCGGUGCUGGAAGGUUAAUUGAUGGUGUAAUCGAAAGAGAAGCACCUGAUCGAAGCCCCAGUAAACGGCGGCCGUAACUAUAACGGUCCUAAGGUAGCGAAAUUCCUUGUCGGGUAAGUUCCGACCUGCACGAAUGGCAUAAUGAUGGCCAGGCUGUCUCCACCCGAGACUCAGUGAAAUUGAAAUCGCCGUGAAGAUGCGGUGUACCCGCGGCUAGACGGAAAGACCCCGUGAACCUUUACUAUAGCUUGACACUGAACAUUGAAUUUUGAUGUGUAGGAUAGGUGGGAGACUUAGAAGUAGUCACGCCAGUGAUUAUGGAGUCAUCCUUGAAAUACCACCCUUUAACGUUUGAUGUUCUAACGAAGAUUGCGGAACGCGGUCUCGGACAGUGUCUGGUGGGUAGUUUGACUGGGGCGGUCUCCUCCCAAAGCGUAACGGAGGAGCACGAAGGUUUGCUAAUCACGGUCGGACAUCGUGAGGUUAGUGCAAUGGUAUAAGCAAGCUUAACUGCGAGACAGACAAGUCGAGCAGGUACGAAAGUAGGUCAUAGUGAUCCGGUGGUUCUGAAUGGAAGGGCCAUCGCUCAACGGAUAAAAGGUACUCCGGGGAUAACAGGCUGAUACCGCCCAAGAGUUCAUAUCGACGGCGGUGUUUGGCACCUCGAUGUCGGCUCAUCACAUCCUGGGGCUGAAGUAGGUCCCAAGGGUAUGGCUGUUCGCCAUUUAAAGUGGUACGCGAGCUGGGUUUAGAACGUCGUGAGACAGUUCGGUCCCUAUCUGCCGUGGGCGUAGGAGAAUUGGUUGGGGCUGCUCCUAGUACGAGAGGACCGGAGUGGACGCACCACUGGUGUUCCGGUUGUGUCGCCAGACGCAUUGCCGGGUAGCUAAGUGCGGAAGAGAUAAGUGCUGAAAGCAUCUAAGCACGAAACUUGCCAAGAGAUGAGUUCUCCCUGUCUUUAAGACAGUAAGGGUUGUUUAAGACGAAGACGUAGAUAGGUCUGGUGUGUAAGUGAUGUGAGUCAUUGAGCUAACAGAUACUAAUUGCCCGAGAGGCUUAACUAUACAACGCUCAAG